RNAcentral lists this ribosomal RNA (231 nucleotides) under Triticum aestivum (bread wheat). RNAcentral describes it as "partial small subunit ribosomal RNA". Lineage: Eukaryota; Viridiplantae; Streptophyta; Magnoliopsida; Poales; Poaceae. The record is from RNAcentral.
AUGAGAACCUUGUGCUAGAACUGUUGUGGGAUUGGCGACCCUGCGACAGUACAGGAGCUCCGCGACCUGGUGGAGGCUAGUGCGUCGUCGGUACUUUGCAUUGUGGAGACCCAAAUAGCGAAGAACCGAGUGGAGGGUUUGGCGGCUUCUUUAGGUUUUCAAGGUAGUUUUGCAGUAGCUAGUAGCGGAAGAAGUGGUGGGCUUUGUAUAUUCUGGAAAUCAGAUGUUUAG